RNAcentral lists this ribosomal RNA (392 nucleotides) under uncultured Gammaproteobacteria bacterium. Its description in RNAcentral is "bacterial SSU rRNA". It matches the Rfam family "Bacterial small subunit ribosomal RNA", at positions 370 to 779 of the family's 1533-position model. The record is from RNAcentral. Lineage: Bacteria; Pseudomonadati; Pseudomonadota; Gammaproteobacteria.
AAUGGGCGCAAGCCUGAUCCAGCCAUGCCGCGUGAGUGAUGAAGGCCCUAGGGUCGUAAAGCUCUUUCGCCUGUGAAGAUAAUGACGGUAGCAGGUAAAGAAACCCCGGCUAACUCCGUGCCAGCAGCCGCGGUAAUACGGAGGGGGUUAGCGUUGUUCGGAAUUACUGGGCGUAAAGCGCGCGUAGGCGGACUAUUAAGUCAGAGGUGAAAUCCCGGGGCUCAACCCCGGAACUGCCUUUGAUACUGGUAGUCUUGAGUUCGAGAGAGGUAAGUGGAAUUCCGAGUGUAGAGGUGAAAUUCGUAGAUAUUCGGAGGAACACCAGUGGCGAAGGCGGCUUACUGGCUCGAUACUGACGCUGAGGUGCGAAAGUGUGGGGAACAAACAGGAUU